AGAACGAACGCUGGCGGCAUGCCUAAUACAUGCAAGUCGAACGAACUCUUCGGAGUUAGUGGCGCACGGGUGCGUAACGCGUGGGAAUCUGCCCCUUGGUUCGGAAUAACAGUUGGAAACGACUGCUAAUACCGGAUGAUGACGAAAGUCCAAAGAUUUAUCGCCAAGGGAUGAGCCCGCGUAGGAUUAGCUAGUUGGUGAGGUAAAGGCUCACCAAGGCAACGAUCCUUAGCUGGUCUGAGAGGAUGAUCAGCCACACUGGGACUGAGACACGGCCCAGACUCCUACGGGAGGCAGCAGUAGGGAAUAUUGGACAAUGGGCGAAAGCCUGAUCCAGCAAUGCCGCGUGAGUGAUGAAGGCCUUAGGUUGUAAAGCUCUUUUACCCGAGAUGAUAAUGACAGUAUCGGGAAGAAUAAGCCCCGGCUAACUCCGUGCCAGCAGCCGC
This 446-nucleotide ribosomal RNA is filed under the name uncultured soil bacterium. Its description in RNAcentral is "bacterial SSU rRNA". It matches the Rfam family "Bacterial small subunit ribosomal RNA", at positions 26 to 518 of the family's 1533-position model. The record is from RNAcentral.